GCCCAGGUGGCGGAACUGGUAUACGCGUACGAUUGAGGUUCGUAUGGAGAAAUCCGUGGAGGUUCAAGUCCUCUCCUGGGCACCA
RNAcentral lists this transfer RNA (85 nucleotides) under Candidatus Nomurabacteria bacterium RIFCSPLOWO2_01_FULL_36_10b. RNAcentral's name for it is "tRNA-Leu". It matches the Rfam family "tRNA". From Rfam's summary of the family: Transfer RNA (tRNA) molecules are approximately 80 nucleotides in length. Lineage: Bacteria; Candidatus Nomuraibacteriota. The record is from RNAcentral.